This 422-nucleotide ribosomal RNA is filed under the name uncultured bacterium. RNAcentral's name for it is "bacterial SSU rRNA". It matches the Rfam family "Bacterial small subunit ribosomal RNA", at positions 358 to 773 of the family's 1533-position model. The record is from RNAcentral.
GGAAUUGUUCACAAUGGGCGCAAGCCUGAUGACGCAACGCCGCGUGGAGGAUGAAGGUCUUCGGAUUGUAAACUCCUGUUGCCCGGGACGAAAUGCUUCGACCUAAUACGUCUAAGCCUGACGGUACCGCGUGAGGAAGCCCCGGCUAACUCUGUGCCAGCAGCCGCGGUAAUACAGAGGGGGCAAGCGUUGUUCGGAAUUACUGGGCGUAAAGGGCGCGUAGGCGGCCUGCUAAGUCGAACGUGAAAUCCCCGGGCUCAACCCGGGAACUGCGUCCGAUACUGGUUGGCUUGAAUUCGGGAGAGGGAUGUGGAAUUCCAGGUGUAGCGGUGAAAUGCGUAGAUAUCUGGAGGAACACCGGUGGCGAAGGCGGCAUCCUGGACCGACAUUGACGCUGAGGCGCGAAAGCCAGGGGAGCAAAC